This 385-nucleotide ribosomal RNA is filed under the name uncultured bacterium. RNAcentral's name for it is "bacterial SSU rRNA". It matches the Rfam family "Bacterial small subunit ribosomal RNA", at positions 28 to 414 of the family's 1533-position model. The record is from RNAcentral.
GACGAACGCUGGCGGCGUGCUUAACACAUGCAAGUCGAGCGGUAAGGCCCUUUCGGGGGUACACGAGCGGCGAACGGGUGAGUAACACGUGGGUGACCUGCCCUUAGCUCUGGGAUAAGCCUGGGAAACUGGGUCUAAUACCGGAUAUGACUCCAUGACGCACGUUGUGGGGUGGAAAGCCUUGUGCGGCUAGGGAUGGGCCCGCGGCCUAUCAGCUUGUUGGUGGGGUGAUGGCCUACCAAGGCGACGACGGGUAGCCGGCCUGAGAGGGCGACCGGCCACACUGGGACUGAGACACGGCCCAGACUCCUACGGGAGGCAGCAGUGGGGAAUCUUGCGCAAUGGGCGAAAGCCUGACGCAGCGACGCCGCGUGAGGGAUGACGG